GACGAACGCUGGCGGCGUGCUUAACACAUGCAAGUCGAACGGAAAGGCCCUGCUUGCAGGGUACUCGAGUGGCGAACGGGUGAGUAACACGUGGGUGAUCUGCCCUGCACUUCGGGAUAAGCCUGGGAAACUGGGUCUAAUACCGGAUAGGAGCCAUUUUUAGUGUGAUGGUUGGAAAGUUUUUUCGGUGUAGGAUGAGCUCGCGGCCUAUCAGCUUGUUGGUGGGGUAAUGGCCUACCAAGGCGGCGACGGGUAGCCGGCCUGAGAGGGUGGACGGCCACAUUGGGACUGAGAUACGGCCCAGACUGCGACGGGAGGCAGCAGUGGGGAAUAUUGCACAAUGGGCGCAAGCCUGAUGCAGCGACGCCGCGUGGGGGAUGACGGCCUUCGGGUUGAAAACUCCUUUCGCUAGGGACGAAGCUUUUUGUGACGGUACCUAGAUAAGAAGCACCGGCUAACUACGUG
RNAcentral lists this ribosomal RNA (465 nucleotides) under uncultured bacterium. RNAcentral describes it as "partial 16S ribosomal RNA". It matches the Rfam family "Bacterial small subunit ribosomal RNA", at positions 28 to 507 of the family's 1533-position model. The record is from RNAcentral.